CUAGCCGUAAACGAUGGAUACUAGGCGUUGUGAGUAUCGACCCUCACAGUGUCGUAGCUAACGCGUUAAGUAUCCCGCCUGGGGAGUACGCGCGCAAGCGUGAAACUCAAAGGAAUUGACGGGGGCCCGCACAAGCGGUGGAGUAUGUGGCUUAAUUCGAUGCAACGCGAAGAACCUUACCAGGACUUGACAUGUCGCGAAUCUCAGGGAAACUUGAGAGUGCCUUCGGGAGCGCGAACACAGGUGGUGC
This 250-nucleotide ribosomal RNA is filed under the name uncultured Chroococcidiopsis sp. RNAcentral describes it as "partial 16S ribosomal RNA". It matches the Rfam family "Bacterial small subunit ribosomal RNA", at positions 796 to 1044 of the family's 1533-position model. Lineage: Bacteria; Bacillati; Cyanobacteriota; Cyanophyceae; Chroococcidiopsidales; Chroococcidiopsidaceae. The record is from RNAcentral.